CUAAUAAACUGUAUUGAUAGUGUACAUCAGAGGAAAUUUAAAACUGCCUCAGAUACCGGGCCAGCACCGCUGACGGGAGACCGUUAGUAGAAGCUUGUGUUGGUGGGAUCUGUGGUGGGGGCAUAACGACCCAAUUACUCUGAUAUCACUACUGUGUCUAAAAUCCAAGAAUCAACAAA
Long non-coding RNA from Sebastes umbrosus (honeycomb rockfish), 179 nucleotides. RefSeq lists it as uncharacterized. NCBI's taxonomy places the organism in Eukaryota, Metazoa, Chordata, Actinopteri, Perciformes, Sebastidae. The transcript has 3 exons. The record is from RefSeq and is a predicted model, not a curated record.